RNAcentral lists this ribosomal RNA (1001 nucleotides) under uncultured bacterium. RNAcentral describes it as "bacterial SSU rRNA". It matches the Rfam family "Bacterial small subunit ribosomal RNA", at positions 8 to 1005 of the family's 1533-position model. The record is from RNAcentral.
AGAGUUUGAUCAUGGCUCAGAUUGAACGCUGGCGGUAUGCUUAACACAUGCAAGUCGAACGGUAGCAGGCCUUCGGGCGCUGACGAGUGGCGGACGGGUGAGUAACGCGUAGGAAUCUGCCUCAUAGUGGGGGACAACGUGGGGAAACUCACGCUAAUACCGCAUACGCCCUACGGGGGAAAGCGGGGGCUCUUCGGACCUCGCGCUAUGAGAUGAGCCUGCGUUAGAUUAGCUAGUUGGUGGGGUAAAGGCCUACCAAGGCGACGAUCUAUAGCUGGUCUGAGAGGACGAUCAGCCACACUGGGACUGAGACACGGCCCAGACUCCUACGGGAGGCAGCAGUGGGGAAUAUUGGACAAUGGGCGGAAGCCUGAUCCAGCAAUACCGCGUGUGUGAAGAAGGCCUUAGGGUUGUAAAGCACUUUCAAUUGGGAGGAAAACCUACCGGUCAAUACCCGGUAGCUUGACAUUACCUUUAGAAGAAGCACCGGCUAACUCCGUGCCAGCAGCCGCGGUAAUACGGAGGGUGCGAGCGUUAAUCGGAAUUACUGGGCGUAAAGCGUGCGUAGGCGGUUCGUUAAGUCAGAUGUGAAAGCCCUGGGCUCAACCUGGGAACGGCAUUUGAAACUGGCGGACUAGAGUUUAGUAGAGGGGAGUGGAAUUUCAGGUGUAGCGGUGAAAUGCGUAGAUAUCUGAAGGAACACCAGUGGCGAAGGCGACUCCCUGGACUAGAACUGACGCUGAGGUACGAAAGCGUGGGUAGCAAACAGGAUUAGAUACCCUGGUAGUCCACGCCGUAAACGAUGUCGACUAGCCGUUGGUCCUAUUUACAGGAUUAGUGGCGCAGCUAACGCAUUAAGUCGACCGCCUGGGGAGUACGGGCCGCAAGGUUAAAACUCAAAUGAAUUGACGGGGGCCCGCACAAGCGGUGGAGCAUGUGGUUUAAUUCGAUGCAACGCGAAGAAUCUUACCUACUCUUGACAUCCAGAGAAUUUGUUAGAG